UGAAAGCAGCGGUGAAUCUACAGGAUGUCUACCUGUAUGAUAGACUGGUAUGUGCCAAGUGCCAAGAGAAAGUAAAGAAUGCGCGCAGGUAUGAUGCACUGGUACGUGGCAUGUGCCCAGGCGUGAAUCAACCUAUAAAGUUCCCAUAUACAAACGAGGACCAGCGUGCAGUGCAGAAGCGAAUGCCCCGAGGCAUUGGGUCACUUGCCAAAAUCCACUUCCUGCCAUCUAAUCAAAUAAGGGCUGAACAUCGUCCAAGGAUAGCUGUAGAUUCUUUGGGUGCCAUUGAAGAUUAGCUGGAGGUUGUCCUUGUAUAGC
Molecule: ribosomal RNA, 318 nt
Filed under: Triticum aestivum (bread wheat)
Lineage: Eukaryota; Viridiplantae; Streptophyta; Magnoliopsida; Poales; Poaceae
Description: partial small subunit ribosomal RNA
Source: RNAcentral